This 229-nucleotide ribosomal RNA is filed under the name uncultured bacterium. RNAcentral's name for it is "partial 16S ribosomal RNA". It matches the Rfam family "Bacterial small subunit ribosomal RNA", at positions 91 to 334 of the family's 1533-position model. The record is from RNAcentral.
UACAGUGGCGUACGGGUGAGUAACACGUGGAUUAUCUACCCUGGAGUGGGGAAUAACGCUGGGAAACCGGCGCUAAUACCGCAUAUUCCCGAGAGGGGAAAGCAGCAAUGCGCUCGAGGAGGAGUCCGCGGCCGAUUAGCUAGUUGGCAGGGUAAAAGCCUACCAAGGCUAUGAUCGGUAGCCGGCCUGAGAGGGCGCACGGCCACACUGGAACUGAAACACGGUCCAG